This is a long non-coding RNA of Ailuropoda melanoleuca (giant panda), 10884 nucleotides long. RefSeq lists it as uncharacterized. The transcript has 4 exons. The record is from RefSeq and is a predicted model, not a curated record. Lineage: Eukaryota; Metazoa; Chordata; Mammalia; Carnivora; Ursidae.
AGGGGGAGGUAGGGCUGUGGACGCACAACGAGGCCAAGGAAGAAGGUGCACGCUGCUCCGAGGUCGCCCCGGGACCUUGGUGCUCCUAAUGCUUGGUUUUCACUGCAGGUGGACAAGUAGGGGAGUCAUAUCCUGAGAUGAGAGUGAGAACCAGAGGUUCAGACCCUUCAGAGAUCAUGUCUGGGUCACCCUACCAGGCAACCUGCCUCGCCCAGCAGAGGCGCAAGCUGAAGGAGUGGGGAAACUUGAAUUGGUGGCGGAGGAGGGGACGGUGUGACAUUUGGGACAAUUUGUAAGUUUUUUGCUGGGGAACAUAAAUGAAAACCCAUCUUUUAUUCUCCUUCUGCCUUGGACCUGCUGAUGUUCCCACUUUGAAGUGGAGUCUGUGCUGAAGGCCAUUCCGGUGGGAGAUGGACGCUCAGGGCAGCUGAGGAGACGGACGCUCGUUGAGUCCUUGCUUUGACAGCUGAGUACUUGAGAAGCUGCCACCCAAGUACUUUUGUGAAUGAAAAGCACUAAAUUAUCAUCAUCCAUUCCAUGGAAAGUGGUUGGAAUAAUGCUCCCAGAAGUCUGCUGUGAUGGAGGGUUACCCAGGUCCUGAAGAAUACCUGCUAUCUUGUGAGCCUUCUUCUAAUUGUUUUUGUUAUGAUUAAUGUCAUUAUGGUAUCAAUGUGUUUUAAUGGGGACGUUUGUCUUCUUGCUGUUUGUGUAUGUCAUAAAUCUGAAGGAGAAAAAUAUGGAAACAGAAGGGCGCAUGUCUUUACAAGUGUGUUUGGAGGCAAACCAAAUGGUGCAUUUCUCUUCGGAUGCUCUCUGAUUUUCAGCCCUAGAGUUUCAGACUAAAAAUAGGAUGUCUUCUUUUUGCAAAGGGCUGCUGAUGUGACUCCUUCAUGGACUGGUUCUGUUGGUACAAAAGGCAACUCCUGGGCUUGGAUGUACUGACUCAUUAGUCAUUAAGGAAUUUACUCCUUAAAGAAUAAUGUAAUGCAGGUUUAAUUAAAGCAAAAGCUUAAAGUUGAUGUUAAUUUAAUGGUACAGUCAACUUUCAAUUAUCCUUGAUGCUGAAAGAGGGGGUGGCAUUGAUAAUACAAAUUAAUGAAAAGCCUAGAAUACAUUCUACUUUUCCCCCUAAAUUUAUCAAGAUUGCUGCUCUAAUUUUACUUUGUACAAGGGGCUCAUGUUGAAAUGAUCAUGAAAGCCAAUUUUGGGGAAAGCAGGAUAUUGGCAUGGGGAAGAAAGUUCAUGGCCUGCCAUGCAUGCAUUAGGCACUUUACCUUGUUAGUUUUUGAAAUGUCCCAACUACCUGUGAGAAAGGUACCACUAACCAUAGUUUAUAAUUAAGGAAACAGAGGUUGUAUUGAAAGACUUGUCCAAGGUCAUUUACUAGAAAUUAGUGUAAUAAGUGUUUCUGUGUUUCUCAAUCCAACCCAUGUAUUGAACAGAGAGGAAAACAAUGUUUUAAUCUAAACCUGAAUUGCAAUGUCUUCUAUACUUAAAAAAAUAGUGUAAAUUCUCUUCUGAAUAUAUGGCAUUUUCUUAUCAAGCAAAAUUCUUGCUUGGGAUGACAGCAUGGUUUGGAAGAAAAUAGCGAAGCAUGAUUUUACACCGCAAAUGGAAAUGAGGGUGGGGGUGCACAGAGAGGCCUGUGCAGGUGAGGAUACUUCAUAUUACGGGGUUGAUAGAACUUUUGAGAACAAGGGCAUCUAAAAAGUCAAUGUUUGUGUUACUGACAGGGAAGUUCUCUGACGGAACAAAAUGUCCUUCCCUCCAAAUCUUCAGCCAGCUGUGCCAGGUACAAAUACCCGGUGUUAGUGGAGCUAGAGGGCUGUUUUAAGGCCGAGGAAAGACAAUGCGCUGGGAGGUCAGAUGAGGUGAGUGGUGGACAGAGUUAUGUAUUAGUCAGGGUUCUACAGGAAAACAGAACCAAUAGGAGAUAGAUAUAUACGGGCAGACUUAUUAUGAAGAAUUGGCUCACGUGAUUAUGGAGGCUGAGGAGUCCCACAGUCUGACAGUGUAACUCUGUCUGAGUCUGAAGGCCUUAGAACCAGGGGCACCAAUGGUGUAAACCCCUAUCAGAGGCAGAAGAAGAUAAGAUGAGAGGUCUUGGCUAAAACAGUGAGGCAGGAAGAAAGGGGCUGCUUCCUCCAGACUCCAUCUUUGUUCCAUCCAGCCCUUCAGUGGACUGCAUGACGCCCACCCACCUUGGGGAGGGCAAUCUGCUUUAUUGAGCCCACCCAUUCAAAUGCUACUCUCAACUGAGAACACGCUCAUAGACACAUCCAGAAUGAUGUCUAAUCUGGGCUUCAUGGCCAGUCAAGUUGGCACAUAAAAGGAGCCAUCAUAAACUUCCUGUGAGGAAGUAAGCCACAGGAAAUUAAAAGACUCCUAGAGGAGGGUCUGAUGCUCUCUGGGCUGCAGACAGUGAGUCAAAGUCCCUUUAUGUAAGUCUUCAAGGGCAGGAUGGAUUCAGUAGGCAUAUGGCUUAUGUAUUAACAGCGGCCUGACAAGGUAACUGGUUAUCAGCUAGUUACUGGCUUGCCGUCAGCCAAUCAGCCAGCAGAUUUAGAGCUCUGUAGAUGCCACCCUAUCACAUCCUAGAAUCUUGCUACUCUAAGUGUGGUUCCUGGGCCAGAGCUCCUUAUAAGUGCAGAAUCUUCAUGCAAACAAAUCCCCAGAAUUUCUCCAGAUAAUUGAUCUGCACAUGGAAGUCUGAGAAGGACUGGCCUGAAACAUACGGGGCAGAGGGCAUAAGGGCAGCGAGGUAUGUGUAGAAGGCUGGAGUGAAGGUCACAAUGGGGAAACUGAACUUGGAUUUUCAAAUAUUUGCCAGGUAUCACCUAUGGUAAUUAGACAUCACUCCGAGUUGAGGAUGGAAUGUGCAUUCCCUAAGUCCAGCCAAGCAUAGACUUGCAGGCUGGAGGUAGGAAGAACAGCUCACCCUUCCCAUGUCCUGAGCCACUUGCCUUCAGACCUACUGCCCCACUCUGGUCUGGAAGCAGAGCCUGCUGCAGGAAAUAUUUGUUCUCUUCUCUCUUUUCCACACCCUUGCAUUCAAAGUGUGUUUGUGUGGUUACAUGUAGAGUUUAGCUCAUGGGUCAUCAUUGUGAGAAAAAUCAAGGCGGAACGAAUAUGACUAGGGAUCCUGGACUCUGAUAUUGGACUAGUGGAGGCAUGGCAUUGCCUCAGACCACCUUGACCUGUCUCCACUGGGGAGGGCAUCGUGUUUUCACCAGUGUGCCUGCCAUGUUAGGUAGAGAUACCUCUAAAUGCACGGGAGAAGGUUGUGGGGUGUGUGUGUGUUUUGUUGUGUUUCCCACAUAGCAGAAUGAUAGGAAGCAGUUGAAUAACGUCUGGGGGUACACGCUCAGCUCAUCAGUUCUUGUUUUGAGAGAAGCUUCAUUGCACACUGGGGAUAUGUAUGUCUGUUCUAGAUGAUCUCUUCUUUGACCAAGUUUGAUCCAACCUUAACUUCUCUGGGACAAUCAGACACCUCUCUCAGGGGAGGUGAGUCUUAGAAAGAAAGGGUACAUUGCUAUGGAAGAUAUAAAAAAAGAGUGAACCUAGAGGGGGAGCUCCAGGAAGUACUCCGGGACAGUGGCAGCCGACCCAAGUGGGAGGGAUGUAGGAGUGUGCUGGACGUGCAGCCGUGGGGAGAGGGUGCCCCAGGCAGCACAAAGGCAGGUGCAAAGCUCUGCAUUAGAAGGCACUAUGGUGUGUCUUCGGAGCUGAGAGUGUUCCAGCAUCGCAGAAGCUGUGAGGUGAAGGGGAAUGGGCGGGAAGACAAUGGCCUGGAAGUGGUAGGCGGGGGCCAUAUCAAGGACUUCUUUAAGCAGAAGGCUAGUGGUGUUGGGUCAGGUUUGUCCCAGAGCAAGGGAGAAUUAGGAAGAAGUAAGUAAAAUUUAGGGUGGAUUUUGCAUCUUGGAGAAAAGAUGAAUGUAGAAGCCAAAUAGCAAACCUUUAAAGAUCAAGGCAAAACUGUGUGGUGACCGAACCAGCCGCUCACCUGGGGUGUUUACUGCUAUGAACACACUUGAGAAAGGGGCAGGAAGCUGAAAUGCUCCCAGCUGCGAGUACACGCUCCUAGAAGGUGCAGGAAUCGAGUUUUCUGUGAUAGAGUCUUGAGCGUUAGCAAGAUCACAACUACGUGGGGUGCGGGAUUCUUCUUUUAAGUAAAAUGGGGAGAAAUUUUCUUUUACCAGGAGAGCCUUAACUUCAUUCUCUAAGCAAAAGUCAAGGUUUGAUCAUCGUUUCAAGAUGAUUAUUUAUGGCUUAGCAGAUAAUCCCACAGCGCCCUUGGCUCUGGCAUUGCCUUUGCUCUAUCUCUUUCUGUCUCCUGAAUUUAUUGAUUUCAUUAGAAGAUAAGAGUGACAAGGACAGCUUAUAAUACUUGGGAGAAAUGUAAAACCAUUAGCAGGUCAUUGUUGAAGUCAGAACAUGCCCUGGUAAGCUCCUUAGGAAACCAGUGGCAGCCGACGAUACAGGGAUUAACCUGCCCGAGUUUAUGUGUGUGCGUGCACGUGUGUGUGUGCGUGCACGUGUGUGUGUGCGUGCACGUGUGUGUGCAGGCUGCACACCAGGUCUCCAGCAAUGAGCUUGUAUUUGAUAAGCCCUGACACUGAACUGAUGGAAAUAUGGGUUAUUGACACAAACAACUGCUUUUUCCUUGCCUUUCCUUUUUCUUGCUUCCUAAGUUUGAGGUUCCGGUUCAAACUGCAUCUGUGGUACCGGAGGGCUGCUCUUGGGUGGGCAGGGGAGAAGGCUUUCAGAGCUUGGCAUCUGUCACUAGCUGGGGUCAGAGGGUGUAACAGGAGUGACCACCAGCCUCUCCCAAGUGGUCCGCCCCGUGGCCAGUGGCUGGUACCACGCGCUUUGAUGGGUCCUCUGAGAGGCUGCCUCUGCUUACUGUCCCCUCAAGGCAGGAACAGCUGCCGGGACUCCGUCUGUCCUGACCUUUCCUCAGGGGACGCGAUGGGGGAGGGGACGGUUGUGCUCAGUCUGAGGAUGUCCUUUACACAAACAGAAGCGAUUUUGUAAGGGCGGGGCUACUGGUGCUCGUGAAGGUUGGAGAGCCGGAAGAGAAUUAAUUCAGUUCUGUCUCUGCUCCUGUUUUCCGCCUGGUGUUGGCAGUGCAGCGGUUUGCAGAUACUUCACGUGGAUGUUUCAAAGAUCGUGAGGUGGAGGGACUUGAAAUAAUUGCUUGAUGCGAAUGUGCACUGGGGUUGUGCUUGGAAGAAGGUAGGCAGCUGGUCACGUGCUGACGACAGGGCUAGUAGAAACAGACUCCAAGGACAGCAAGCAGAGAUCGAGGCCUCAGGCAGAAGGUGAGUGAGGGCCAUCUCUAACAAAAUACUGGAGGCCUCGUGGCUUCAACAUUUAUUUCUCAUCGUUCUGGAGGCCUGGGAGUCGAGAUCAAGGCCCAGGCAGAUUUGAUUGCCUCCUGGCUCAGACAGCCACCUUACAUGUCCACACAUGGUGGAAGGGACAAAGGAACGCUCUGGGGUUUCUUUUAUAAGGGCACUAAUCUCAUUCUUCCUUCACUACCUAAUCACCUUCCAAAGGCCCCACCUCCUAAUUCCAUCUCUUUGGACGUUGGGCUUUUGAAUGAAUUUGGGGGAGACACAAACCUCCAGUCCAUAGCACAUCCAUGGAACCCUGGCUGGGGGCUCCCUGGCCAGCCUCCCUCCUCACCUGUCUGAGUGGGACUGGCUGAAACCCAAGAGGAAACCUCCACCCACAGCAGCACCGUGGGACCUAAACAUCAAUGUGGAAGCUGAACCAUGUGGCUGCCGACCCUGACCAUUGACAUGACCUUCAGCGAUUGCCACUGUCAGCGCUUGCCUCGUCUGCCUUGAAAUUGAAUCAUACCAUGCGUGCUUCUCUCACAGUGAUUCUGAGAGCCAAGAAAUCGUAUUUGCUAAAAUGUACUGAAAAAUCUCAAGUGCAUUACUAGCAUGGACAGACAGACUAAUUGUUGGGGAUAUAGGAAGAGCGGUUUUACGGAGGUCCAGAAAGUUCAUCUCCCUUUAUCUUUCGCACUGUGAACCUUCUGUUUGUGAGCCUUAGUGAGCAAGUGACUCCUGUAGGUAAAGUGAGUGUGAGUUAUAUUUAAGGUAAUCAUUUUGAAGGUACUUUCAAGGAAUUUGCCUCCCAAUAAUUGAAGACGAUUGUAGUUUUCUGUUUCAGAUACAAUAAUUUAUUACAGUCAUGCUGCCAGAUAAGAUCUGAGACAUCCAGUUAAAUUUGAAUUUCAGAUAAACAAUGAAUAGUUUUUUAGUAUGUCUCAAAUACUGCAUGGGACAUACUAUACCUACUCAUACUGAAAAUUCGUCUGUUGUUCAUCUGCAGUUCAAAUGUCACUCAGUAUCCUGAAUUUUCAUUUGCUAAAUCUAAUCACCACAUACUGGAGAUCUGGGUUUCUAGUGGACAUAUGAGAGUGAAAUCCCAUUCCCAUAAAAACUGCUUUUUAGCCUUUUUUUAAAAAAAACAAACAUUAAUAGGAAUCACUGAAUUAGCAUUGGCAUGUGAGGUAAUUUCUUUGAGCUUCUCAUUCGUCAUCUGUAAAAUGCAGAGAAUAGUGCCCUACUUGGUUCUCAGGUUUGCCUGCUGAUCAGAAUCACCUGAUUAGAUCACCAUUUACAAUGCCCCAGCACCUUAGACCAAUUACAUCAGGACCUCGGUGUGGUGGAGCCCAGGGUGGGUUACAGUAGAAAGUUCCAUCCAGUCAUUGCAAUGAGGCAGCAAGGGUGAGAACCCUUGGCAUCACGCCUAGUGAGCUGUGGGGCUCAGUGACCCAGCAGCUGUCACAGAGCAUCUGCCAGUGUAAGAAUGCCACGGGCAGUCCCUGCAUUAUGUUAGGAAGAAGGCUAGAGUGGAAGAGGAAGGAGAAGAAAGGGUGACAGGUAGGGUGACAGGCUGUGCAGAGGCAGUGUCUUAAAAGCACGUGGCCCAUGUGGGAUACUACAGGCCCGUCUGUAUGGGUCUCUGUGGCUGGAACACAGCUUGUGGAGGACAGCAAGAAACCAAGAAAUGGUUUCUAAAGCCAGGUUGUGGAGGCUGUGGGCCACAGCCAGGGGUUUGCGCUCCAUUUUGUGGGCCUUGGGGAGCCAUUGCCAAUGUUCUCGCUCCUGAAGAGAAGAGUUUUCGUGGAAGCCCAGGUGUGCAUCUCAUAGGAAGAUAUGAGCCAGGUGGGACCCAUGGGAGGUACCAUCCCCCUAGUAGGAAUCUUAUCUGUCUUGCUCAGUGUUAUAUUUUCAGUGCCAGGAACUAUAUCUGGAGCAUAGUAGGGACUCAACAAUGGUGUUAGAUUGAAGGAGUAAAUGGAAAAAAAACAAAGGAAAAGCCCAACAGAGGGAGCGUGGCAUGGCCGGACUGGUGGCGAGGUGAAGGCAGAGGUCUCCAGUCCUGUGCUGACCUCGGGCGCCACCGGACAAGUCAUGGCCUCUUCUUGGCCUCUGUUUCUUGCCUCUUGAAUGGAGGGCAUGAUGUUUUGCUCUUGGUGAAAACUCCCUUUGAGAGUGUUGGUGUUUCCGUGAUUUCUGAAAGUUGGGCCCCCAGACGGCAGAGUUGUGCAGCUCACAGGGCUGCUGGAGGAAACUCGGCAUACCCGUGAGUAGGCAUCCGACGUCGGGGGAGUGGCUGGACCACAGCCUCAAGAGUGAGUUUCAGGGUUGUAGGUCUAAGCAGUGUCACGGUGGAGAGGGGUCCAAGGCACAGGUUGGACGGGAGGACAACCAGCCGGUUCUCAUCUCAGCUCCUGCAACUCAGCGCUGUGGCUCCAGGCAACUCACUUCAUCUGUUUGCAUUUUGGUUCCCUUAGUCGUAAAAUGAGGAGUUUGUAUUAAGUUGACUCUGUAGAACAUUCUCGGCUUUCAACUGCUCUGAGUCCAUGGUGUGCUCUUGGGUUUCUUUUAUCUUUACCUCCAUGGACCUUUGUUUCUAAAGAUCCAGGCCCCGUGACACUGCUCCUUCCCUGUGCCUUCGGAGACAGAGCCGAAAAGCUGACUCUGCACCUCUUUGUGCCUCCGAGCCUUUUGCGCAUAAAGAAGGGAAAGCUGGAUAGUUUUUUUCCCCUUCUUCUUUAACAGAUAUUUUUAGCUUUUCUAAAAGCUUCUCACUUUGAGCCUUAAAAAGAAAUAAGAACCUCUUCCAAAAAUGCAAAUGCUCUGGCAAGAAGCAAGAGGGGUGUUUUCAAUCUUUCCAGAACAAUUGUUUUCUCUUCCAUUGACAUUUGUGGGGUAGAGGGGUGAAGGUGGGGCUGCAGAGGGGGAGGAGGGAAGGUGUUGUGACAACUAGAGUGACUCUGUGGCCAGCAGGGGUGCUUUCCUGGGGGCUGCCCUCUAGGGAGGGUGCAAUGGGCUGGCUUUCCCUACUCAGCCAUUAUUUCACAUUGCUCCGGAACACUUCUGGUUGGAAGAGGAGACGGCUCUAUAUGUUUAGAACGUUGCAAGUCCUGACAGAGCCAUGAGGUGAGGUGAAGGCUCUUUCUCCCCAUCAGCCCCCAGCUUCACGCAGACCUUGGAAGUCAGAGGAGCUGCUGGGGACGCUCGGAGUUACAUCCCCACCCCACGUGAGGAGGGACAGGGAGAGCAAGGUCGAUUCCAGUUGGCUUACUUUGCCUCCCCAGCUCUGAAUUUUUCUAAUUUGGAAGCUUCCACUGGCCGGUUGAGGUCUUGUCCUGGUGGCAUCUCUCCUUCCUCUGUCUCCCCACAGCACCCUGCCUGCUUCCCAGGAGGAGGAUGAGGAGGGGGAAGAGGACUGCCUGGCGCAGGGGUCACGCUGCUGGGCACCUGGGCAUCUUUAUUUCACUUACUCUUUCCAACAAUCCUGUAAUUGUGUCUAAUUCCUAGUUCUGAUUCCCUAGCAUCUAGCUCAUAGUAGCUGCUUGUUAUCUGUUCGGUUGUCUGAAUUAAGACUUUCAUUUAUGUCUUUCAGAGCUAAUUCAAAGUUUGACCUUAUUCAGAAAUAAUGAUUUGGCCCACAAUCUUGUUGAAAAACAAUACAGUUUGGUUCUGCGUAUGUCAAACUCAUGGGACAUUGGUGAAUACAGGCUCUUUAAGGGGCCGUUUAGCUUGGAAUUACUGAGCAGAAGAUGAUUAUAUUGACAUAACCAUCUGAAAACGAGAGACAGUACCCUCCAGCCCUCACACUCAGUCACGCUCCCCAGAAGUUAGUGAUAGAGGGGAACAAGGCAAUGUGGGCAAUGUUGUAUACCACAGCUUCCAGAAGCACAGCUCAGCUUGCCUGUCACUGGACCACAGGCCUAUGGAAGGUCCAUGUCCAGAGAAUCAGGAGUCAAUCACAAAGGAGUCAUAAGAAUGUAGAUCUCACAUAGUUUUCUUAGGGAGAAUGAGCCCUGCUCUUUACAACUGAGGAAGCCCAUGGCUCUGGAAGGAAGGUGAUAACUCAGGUAUUAAUUUUGUCUUGGCUUCUUGGUGGCUGGGGCCAGAGCUCACAUUUCCUCCCCUCUGCUUUCUGCCCUGCCCACCAUGAUACACCCCCAACCUGACGUUGACUUGAAUAAAUGAUGUUUAAUCGGUCCUAUGGGCAUUACUGACUUAUUGUUUACUCUGAGAAGAUAGAAAUGAACACAGUCAUCUCUGGAUAUCAAAUAUGAGUUGAGCCAACUCUCCCUUGAUAAUUUCGAGGCAAAUGGAGAGAGAGGCUGUAAUCGCCCUGGUGACACAUGGGUCUUUGGUUCUGUUGGCAGCGCCGUCAUCACAUUGAAUAACUGUAAGGGGAAAGGAGCUGUGAGAAGGAACACAGCCACACUCAGACCACUAUUCCUUUUCUUUUUAAAGUAUUUUUCUGUAAUACCACCAAGUAGUAUUCUAAAUAUUGACACGUUCAGAAGAUGAACAUUGGCUAACAGAAGAGAGAGAUGGAAUGAGCAUAACUAACAGAAUAAGAGACAGAUUCACAUGUAGGCAUUUACUGCUCGUGGAGUAGUUACUGUGCUCAAACAGACUUGUGUGCCUUAGCUUGCCGAAACCUCUCUUGGACCCGAGGCGAGAGCUGCUGUUAUACCCAUGUAUAGGUAAGGAAACAGAGGCCCAGAAAAGUUGGAUAACUUCCUCAAGAUCAUGAAAUUAGUGUCAGACUCAGAAUUUGAACCUAGCUCAAGCUGACACCAGCCUGAUCUCAUUCCGCUUCUAGAGUGAGAGCUCCAGCCCCCCCACAGGUGCUCACUUUGAGCAGGUAGGUUAACCUUAGCUUAACUUUAGGGCCAGACACUUUAGGGUCCAGGAAAUAUAAAGCAUGGUCUGCGGCCUCAAGGAACACGUGACCUAUUUGAAAGAGGUUAUGUUUAUAUGACACAUUCAAUAAAAGUUCAGCUGGUCAUCUUCAAUUAAAUGCUAAUUUUUUUCAUCCCAGCCAAUAGUUCAGAGAUGUUCAUGUCGCUGAGGGAGCACGGGGUCAGAGGAUUUGACCCCCUCUUGUUGGUGUAAUUAGGGUCUAGAUCUGGACACGUGGAUGGUGGACAGUGAUCCUUCUGAACAGGCAGUAAGACCAAAUGAAGAAAGGAAGAGGUGGGUAAAACAGGACUUUUAUUCAAAAAGGCCCCCAGCUCGAGUCAGUGUCUUCUAUGUGCCCGCUGUUUGGAAGGCAGGUGAAGAGAAAUGAGAAAAUAUCAUUUUGUCAUAGUUCAGGUGUGUCUAUAGCACUGAGCUCCUGAUCUGUAGAUGAGAAAAGAAGAUCUUCAGACAAGAGGUAUUCUGGGUCCUCCUUUAGCCCCUGAAAAUACUCAGUAACUGGCAGCUUCCCUGAAAGGAUGCUUUCCUUUGAUGACUGUCAUCGCAAGAUCAUUACUACCAUGGAGCAGGAGUUAAAGCUGCAUUACGCCAUUUGGGAUUAUAUCUCACCCACGAGAAAUUUAGGGGAAUCAGA